This 72-nucleotide transfer RNA is filed under the name Chloropicon roscoffensis. RNAcentral describes it as "tRNA-Ala". It matches the Rfam family "tRNA". Rfam says of the family: Transfer RNA (tRNA) molecules are approximately 80 nucleotides in length. Lineage: Eukaryota; Viridiplantae; Chlorophyta; Chloropicophyceae; Chloropicales; Chloropicaceae. The record is from RNAcentral.
GGGGAUGUAACUCAACGGUAGAGUAUAUGCUUUGCAAGCAUGAGGUUACCGGUUCAAAUCCGGUCAUCUCCA